GAUAAACGCUGGCGGCGCACAUAAGACAUGCAAGUUGAACGGACUUAAUCGAAAUAUUUCUAUUUUGAAGCGGUUAGUGGCGGACUGGUGAGUAACGCGUAAGGAACCUGCCUAUUAGAGGGGAAUAACAGUGAGAAAUCAUUGCUAAUACCGCAUAUGCCAUAGAUAUCACAUGAUAACAGUGGGAAAGGAGCAAUCCGCUAAUAGAUGGCCUUGCGUCUGAUUAGAUAGUUGGUGGGGUAACGGCCUACCAAGUCGACGAUCAGUAGCCGGACUGAGAGGUUGAACGGCCACAUUGGGACUGAGAUACGGCCCAGAAUCCUACGGGAGGCAGCAGUCGGGAAUAUCGCGCAAUGGAGGAAACUCUGACGCAGUGACGCAGCGUAUAGGAAGAAGGUUUUCGGAUUGGAAAAGAUUGUCGUUAGGGAAGAGAAAGGACAGUACCUAAGGAGGAAGCUCCGGCUAACUACGUG
This 473-nucleotide ribosomal RNA is filed under the name uncultured bacterium. RNAcentral describes it as "partial 16S ribosomal RNA". It matches the Rfam family "Bacterial small subunit ribosomal RNA", at positions 28 to 507 of the family's 1533-position model. The record is from RNAcentral.